AGAGUUUGAUCAUGGCUCAGGACGAACGCUGGCGGCGUGCUUAACACAUGCAAGUCGAACGGUGAACCGGGCUUCGGCCCGGGGAUCAGUGGCGAACGGGUGCGUAACACGUGGGCAACCUGCCCCAGACUCUGGGAUAACUCCGGGAAACCGGGGCUAAUACCGGAUACUCCGAUCGAACCGCAUGACUCGAUCGGGAAAGCUCCGACGGUCUGGGAUGGGCCCGCGGCCUAUCAGCUUGUUGGUGGGGUAACGGCCUACCAAAGCGACGACGGGUAGCUGGUCUGAGAGGACGACCAGCCACACUGGAACUGAGAUACGGUCCAGACUCCUACGGGAGGCAGCAGUGGGGAAUCUUGCACAAUGGGCGAAAGCCUGAUGCAGCGACGCCGCGUGGGGGACGAAUGCCUUCGGGUUGUAAACCCCUUUCGGCAGGGAAGAAGCGCAAGUGACGGUACCUGCAGAAGAAGCUCCGGCUAACUACGUGCCAGCAGCCGCGGUAAGACGUAGGGAGCGAGCGUUGUCCGGAUUCAUUGGGCGUAAAGCGCGCGUAGGCGGUUUGGUAAGUCGGAUGUGAAAUCCCGAGGCUCAACCUCGGGACUGCAUCCGAUACUGCCCGACUAGAGGUAGGUAGGGGAGAUCGGAAUUCCUGGUGUAGCGGUGAAAUGCGCAGAUAUCAGGAGGAACACCGGUGGCGAAGGCGGAUCUCUGGGCCUUACCUGACGCUGAGGCGCGAAAGCUAGGGGAGCAAACAGGAUUAGAUACCCUGGUAGUCCUAGCCGUAAACGUUGGGUGCUAGGUGUGGGCGGAUAUCGACCCCGUCCGUGCCGAAGCUAACGCAUUAAGCACCCCGCCU
RNAcentral lists this ribosomal RNA (856 nucleotides) under uncultured bacterium. RNAcentral describes it as "bacterial SSU rRNA". It matches the Rfam family "Bacterial small subunit ribosomal RNA", at positions 9 to 873 of the family's 1533-position model. The record is from RNAcentral.